Molecule: ribosomal RNA, 406 nt
Filed under: uncultured bacterium
Lineage: Bacteria
Description: partial 16S ribosomal RNA
Rfam family: Bacterial small subunit ribosomal RNA
Source: RNAcentral
AUUGAACGCUGGCGGCAGGCCUAACACAUGCAAGUCGAACGAGUGGCGGACGGGUGAGUAAUGUCUGGGAAACUGCCUGAUGGAGGGGGAUAACUACUGGAAACGGUAGCUAAUACCGCAUCCCAUCAGAUGUUCCCAGAUGGGAUUAGCUGGUUGGGGGGUUAACGGCUCACCAAGGCGACGAUCCCUAGCUGGUCUGAGAGGAUGACCAGACAUGCGGGAACGGAGACACGUUCCAGACGCAUACGGGAGGCAGCAGGGGGGAAUAUUGCACAAUGGGAGGAAGCCUGAGUCAGCCAUGCCGGGUGUAUGAAGAAGGCCUUCGGGUUGUAAAGUACUUUCAGCGGGGAGGCGUUACCCGCAGAAGAAGCACCGGCUAACUCCGUGCCAGCAGCCGCGGUAAUUC